UGCCUACGGGGGGCAGCAGUGGGGAAUAUUGCACAAUGGGGGAAACCCUGAUGCAGUGACGCCGCGUGAGUGAAGAAGUAUUUCGGUAUGUAAAGCUCUAUCAGCAGGGAAGAUAAUGACGGUACCUGACUAAGAAGCCCCGGCUAACUACGUGCCAGCAGCCGCGGUAAUACGUAGGGGGCAAGCGUUAUCCGGAUUUACUGGGUGUAAAGGGAGCGUAGACGGCAUAGCAAGUCUGAAGUGAAAGCCCAAGGCUCAACCAUGGGACUGCUUUGGAAACUGUUAAGCUAGAGUGCUGGAGAGGG
This 305-nucleotide ribosomal RNA is filed under the name uncultured bacterium. RNAcentral describes it as "bacterial SSU rRNA". It matches the Rfam family "Bacterial small subunit ribosomal RNA", at positions 335 to 658 of the family's 1533-position model. The record is from RNAcentral.